GGCUGCAUGGUCUAGUGGAUAGGACGCUACUCUGUCACAGUAGAGAUACGAGUUCGAUUCUCGUUGUAGCCG
Molecule: transfer RNA, 72 nt
Filed under: Agathobacter rectalis
Lineage: Bacteria; Bacillati; Bacillota; Clostridia; Lachnospirales; Lachnospiraceae
Also listed under: 1 other name
Description: tRNA-Asp
Rfam family: tRNA
About the family: Transfer RNA (tRNA) molecules are approximately 80 nucleotides in length.
Source: RNAcentral